UCAGAUAUAUUAAGGGGUGAUGUGGCAAU
RNAcentral lists this non-coding RNA (29 nucleotides) under Bombyx mori (domestic silkworm). Lineage: Eukaryota; Metazoa; Arthropoda; Insecta; Lepidoptera; Bombycidae. The record is from RNAcentral.